AACGAACGCUGGCGGCAGGCUUAACACAUGCAAGUCGAACGGUUGUAGCAAUACAGCAGUGGCAGACGGGUGAGUAACACGUGGGAACCUUCCUAGGGGUACGGAACAACUCAGGGAAACUUGAGCUAAUACCGUAUACGUCCGUGAGGAGAAAGAUUUAUCGACCCUUAGACGGGCCCGCGUCGGGUUAGCUAGUUGGUGGGGUAACGGCCUACCAAGGAGAAGAUCCGUAGCUGAUCUUAGAGGAUGAUCAGCCACACUGGGACUGGGACACGGACCAGACUCCUACGGGAGGCAGCAGUGGGGAAUCUUGGACAAUAGGCGCAAGCCUGAUCCAGCCAUGCCGCGUGAGUGAAGAAGGUCUUUGGAUUGUAAAGCUCUUUUGCCAGGGACGAUAAUGACGGUACCUGGAGAAUAGGCCCCGGCAAACUUCGUGCCAGCAGCCGCAGUAA
This 452-nucleotide ribosomal RNA is filed under the name uncultured bacterium. RNAcentral's name for it is "partial 16S ribosomal RNA". It matches the Rfam family "Bacterial small subunit ribosomal RNA", at positions 29 to 523 of the family's 1533-position model. The record is from RNAcentral.